Molecule: long non-coding RNA, 630 nt
Organism: Tripterygium wilfordii
Lineage: Eukaryota; Viridiplantae; Streptophyta; Magnoliopsida; Celastrales; Celastraceae
Exons: 3
Source: RefSeq, a predicted model, not a curated record
AACAAAAGUGAAUUGUGCUCUCUCCUUUAGCUCUCUCCCUGCGACGCUUAGCCAAGAAUGGCAACUUCAUCGUCCGUUCACCAAACGAGAUGUCGUUACCACCAAAAUAAAGCUUGGACUUCCAGGAGCAAAACCCAACGAGUCUCAGCAAGUUUCGUCGACUGUAGCCACUAGAAUCGAGUUUGGAAACUCACGGCAACCACAAGGUAAAAGUGGUCGAUCCGGCCAACUCUGGCCACCAUUCAGCUCGUCGUCACCACCAUUCAUCUCACCGGAUUGAGGAGCACUUAGGCCAACUAAUUUUCGGGUGAAACAAACCCCGGAUGCCGGAGAUUCGAGUUUGACCCGGUUUCGACCCGGCUGGAAUUUCAUUUUCCGGCGACCCCGAAGUUCUAUUUUAACUUGUUUCGUUGUUCUGAACGUGUUGGCGAUGUUUUUGGAUCCAUACAGAAUAGCGUUGGAGCAUCUUGGCAAUUUCGUCUUAAAUAUGCGUAUACGUAUGGUAUACAUGGAGGUGAUCGAGGAGUUGGACUUGAGGCUGUAGACGGUUAAUUAUUUUGUGUACCGCUAUCGAGGUGAGUUGGAUGUAAGUGAUGGCGGUCAGCAGCGGGAUGCGUGAGCUGGUGUGUA